AACACAUGCAAGUCGAACGAUGAUAGAGAGCUUGCUUUUCUUGAUUAGUGGCGCACGGGUGAGUAAUGCAUAGAUAAUGUGCCCCUUAGUUCGGGAUAGCCACUGGAAACGGUGAUUAAUACCGGAUACUCCUUCUUGUUAUAAGACAAGUCGGGAAAGUUUUUCGCUAAGGGAUCAGUCUAUGUUCCAUCAGCUUGUCGGUGAGGUAAUGGCUCACCAAGGCUAUGACGGAUAUCUGGUUUGAGAGGAUGAUCAGACACACUGGAACUGAGACACGGUCCAGACUCCUACGGGAGGCAGCAGUGAGGAAUAUUGCACAAUGGAGGAAACUCUGAUGCAGCAACGCCGCGUGGAGGAUGACGCAUUUCGGUGUGUAAACUCCUUUUAUUAGGGAAGAUAAUGACGGUACCUAAUGAAUAAGCACCGGCUAACUCCGUGCCAGCAGCCGCGGUAAUACGGAGGGUGCAAGCGUUACUCGGAAUCACUGGGCGUAAAGGGUGCGUAGGCUGGCUUUUAAGUCAGAUGUGAAAUCCAAUGGCUCAACCAUUGAACUGCAUUUGAAACUGAAAGCCUAGAGUUCAGAAGGGGCAGAUGGAAUUAGUGGUGUAGGGGUAAAAUCCGUAGAUAUCACUAGGAAUAUCAAAAGCGAAGGCGAUCUGCUGGGAUGAUA
This 670-nucleotide ribosomal RNA is filed under the name uncultured bacterium. Its description in RNAcentral is "bacterial SSU rRNA". It matches the Rfam family "Bacterial small subunit ribosomal RNA", at positions 50 to 739 of the family's 1533-position model. The record is from RNAcentral.